CCUACGGGUGGCAGCAGUGGGGAAUAUUGGUCAAUGGGCGCAAGCCUGACCCAGCAACGCCGCGUGAAGGAAGAAGGCUCUCGGGUUGUAAACUUCUUUUGUCAGGGACGAAGAAAGCGACGGUACCUGACGAAUAAGCCACGGCGAACUACUUGCCAGCAGCCGCUGUAAUACGUAGGGUGCAAGCGUUAUCCGGAUUUAAUGGGUGUAAAGGGGGUGUAGGCGGUGAUGCAAGGCAGAUGUGAAAACUAUGGGCUCAACCCCUGGCCUGCAUUUGCAACUGUGUGUCUUGAGUGAUGGGGAGGCAGGCGGAAUGCGGGGUGUAGCGGUGAAAUGCGUAGAUAUACGGAGGAACACGGGUGGCGAAGGCGGAUUGCUGGACAGCAACUGACGCUGAGGCGCGAAAGCGUGGGGAGCAAACAGGAUUAGAUACCCGAGUAGUC
RNAcentral lists this ribosomal RNA (443 nucleotides) under uncultured bacterium. RNAcentral describes it as "partial 16S ribosomal RNA". It matches the Rfam family "Bacterial small subunit ribosomal RNA", at positions 338 to 795 of the family's 1533-position model. The record is from RNAcentral.